This 497-nucleotide ribosomal RNA is filed under the name uncultured bacterium. Its description in RNAcentral is "partial 16S ribosomal RNA". It matches the Rfam family "Bacterial small subunit ribosomal RNA", at positions 28 to 507 of the family's 1533-position model. The record is from RNAcentral.
GAUGAACGCUGGCGGCGUGCCUAAUACAUGCAAGUCGAGCGAACGGACGAGAAGCUUGCUUCUCUGAUGUUAGCGGCGGACGGGUGAGUAACACGUGGAUAACCUACCUAUAAGACUGGGAUAACUUCGGGAAACCGUAGCUAAUACCGGAUAAUAUUUUGAACCGCAUGGUUCAAAAGUGAAAGACGGUCUUGCUGUCACUUAUAGAUGGAUCCGCGCUGCAUUAGCUAGUUGGUAAGGUAACGGCUUACCAAGGCAACGAUGCAUAGCCGACCUGAGAGGGUGAUCGGCCACACGGGAGCUGAGACACGGUCCAGACUACUACGGGAGGCAGCAGUAGGGAAUCUUCCGCAAUGGGCGAAAGCCUGACGGAGCAACGCCGCGUGAGUGAUGAAGGUCUUCGGAUCGUAAAACUCUGUUAUUAGGGAAGAACAUAUGUGUAAGUAACUGUGCACAUCUUGACGGUACCUAAUCAGAAAGCCACGGCUAACUACGUG